RNAcentral lists this ribosomal RNA (253 nucleotides) under uncultured bacterium. RNAcentral's name for it is "partial 16S ribosomal RNA". It matches the Rfam family "Bacterial small subunit ribosomal RNA", at positions 524 to 776 of the family's 1533-position model. The record is from RNAcentral.
UACAGAGGGGGCAAGCGUUAUUCGGAAUUAUUGGGCGUAAAGAGCUCGUAGGCGGUCUGUCGCGUCGGCUGUGAAAACUCGGGGCUCAACCCCGAGCCUGCAGUCGAUACGGGCAGACUAGAGUUCGGUAGGGGAGACUGGAAUUCCUGGUGUAGCGGUGAAAUGCGCAGAUAUCAGGAGGAACACCGGUGGCGAAGGCGGGUCUCUGGGCCGAUACUGACGCUGAGGAGCGAAAGCGUGGGGAGCGAACAGG